CGUGUGCUUGUAUUUUCAUACUCAUAUUUUUAAUUAAUGUUGAGAUCAAAUAUGCUCAUCCCGUAAGAAAAGGUACAAAAGGUACUGCGCAGCAUAAAGUGCCCCAGAAGGAUUUGAAUUUGAAUAGUUCCAAAUUUCACGGAAUAUUGAACUACAUGCCUCCUCCUCCAAAUGAGGAACAUGUUGAUCCUAUAGAAACAUCUGGGCAAUUCGAAGGCGAUAUCUUACUUACUCCUUUUCAGGGGUUGAAUGCUAUUCGGAAUGAGAACCUUAAAUGGCCAGAAGGAAGAGUACCGUAUUCUAUUCCGUUUUUUUAUGGUAAGUU
Stegodyphus dumicola is the source of this 325-nucleotide long non-coding RNA. The record is from RefSeq and is a predicted model, not a curated record. Lineage: Eukaryota; Metazoa; Arthropoda; Arachnida; Araneae; Eresidae.